RNAcentral lists this ribosomal RNA (465 nucleotides) under Vreelandella stevensii. Its description in RNAcentral is "partial 16S ribosomal RNA". It matches the Rfam family "Bacterial small subunit ribosomal RNA", at positions 338 to 795 of the family's 1533-position model. The record is from RNAcentral. Lineage: Bacteria; Pseudomonadati; Pseudomonadota; Gammaproteobacteria; Oceanospirillales; Halomonadaceae.
CCUACGGGGGGCAGCAGUGGGGAAUAUUGGACAAUGGGGGCAACCCUGAUCCAGCCAUGCCGCGUGUGUGAAGAAGGCCCUCGGGUUGUAAAGCACUUUCAGUGAGGAAGAACGCCUGGUGGUUAAUACCCAUCAGGAAAGACAUCACUCACAGAAGAAGCACCGGCUAACUCCGUGCCAGCAGCCGCGGUAAUACGGAGGGUGCGAGCGUUAAUCGGAAUUACUGGGCGUAAAGCGCGCGUAGGUGGCUUGAUAAGCCGGUUGUGAAAGCCCCGGGCUCAACCUGGGAACGGCAUCCGGAACUGUCAAGCUAGAGUGCAGGAGAGGAAGGUAGAAUUCCCGGUGUAGCGGUGAAAUGCGUAGAGAUCGGGAGGAAUACCAGUGGCGAAGGCGGCCUUCUGGACUGACACUGACACUGAGGUGCGAAAGCGUGGGUAGCAAACAGGAUUAGAUACCCCGGUAGAC